RNAcentral lists this ribosomal RNA (489 nucleotides) under uncultured bacterium. Its description in RNAcentral is "partial 16S ribosomal RNA". It matches the Rfam family "Bacterial small subunit ribosomal RNA", at positions 30 to 507 of the family's 1533-position model. The record is from RNAcentral.
UUGAACGCUGGCGGCAGGCCUAACACAUGCACGUCGAACGGUAACAGGAAACAGCUUGCUGUUUCGCUGACGAGUGGCGGACGGGUGAGUAAUGUCUGGGAAACUGCCUGAUGGAGGGGGAUAACUACUGGAAACGGUAGCUAAUACCGCAUAACGUCGCAAGACCAAAGAGGGGGACCCUCGGGCCUCUUGCCAUCGGAUGUGCCCAGAUGGGAUUAGCUUGUUGGUGGGGUAACGGCUCACCAAGGCGACGAUCCCUAGCUGGUCUGAGAGGAUGACCAGCCACACUGGAACUGAGACACGGUCCAGACUCCUACGGGAGGCAGCAGUGGGGAAUAUUGCACAAUGGGCGCAAGCCUGAUGCAGCCAUGCCGCGUGUAUGAAGAAGGCCUUCGGGUUGUAAAGUACUUUCAGCGGGGAGGAAGGGAGUAAAGUUAAUACCUUUGCUCAUUGACGUUACCCGCAGAAGAAGCACCGGCUAACUCCGUG